CAUAUAAAUGAUCUAUUAUUAAAAUGCACAUUUAAAUCUACAGAGUAUAUCUGCUUAAAGACAUACUACUUGUGUUUAAGAGCCAUGACUAUUUGAAAACAGGAAAACCAAAUUUUAGUAAAAUUUCCAUAUACUGGGACCACUGAUUCUGUGUGAGAUAAUUAGGAAAGAAUUUGGCCCUUGAAAACAUUCACAUCCUAUUCUUUGUUAGCCUUAUUUUUCCAGUCCUUGUUAACUCUGUCAGUGCUGGAUAAUAAACCUGCAUUUCUUUUAAAACAUUUGUUCAGUUUUGGCAUCAGUGUCUUCCCCCAGCACUCCCAUAGUCUAAAUUAGUAACAUUUUAUUGUAUGAAAAAUAGUUGCUGUUAACUAAAAAUUCAAUAAGUGAGUUAGACAUGGCUUUUCAAGUAGGAUUUUCAGUGGCUUCCGAUUCCAUCAGACACAAGUGUAUGUUUUUUCCGUGUAAGUUUUUUCCGUGCUCAACCAUAAGUGCUCAACCAUCUUCUCCCCACUUUAGUCUGCUAUGUCAAAAAAUUGCAUCAAGCUUUUGUGUGAAGAUCCUGUUUUCGCAGAAUAUAUUAAAUGUAUCCUAAUGGAUGAAAGAACUUUUUUAAACAACAACAUUGUCUACACGUUCAUGACACAUUUCCUUCUAAAGGUUCAAAGUCAAGUGUUUUCUGAAGCAAACUGUGCCAAUUUGAUCAGCACUCUUAUUACAAACUUGAUAAGUCAGUAUCAGAACCUACAGUCUGAUUUCUCCAGCCGAGUUGAAAUUUCCAAAGCAAGUGCUUCUUUAAAUGGGGUAAGAACUAUGCAGAGGCGGCGGCACACACUUUUAAACUGUCCUUCAGUUAACUGUGUGGCCUUCAUAUGAUUUUACUCUCGUAACUUUAACUUACUGAUUCGAACUCUAAGCCAUGUAUGACAAAAAACAAAUUUUAAAUACAUGUUCACUAUGCCUUGUAUGUACACAGCACACUCUUUAUCACCUUGGAAGCUACAAGCCGAUAUCAUUAAAUGCUAAGGGUAAUAAAGGGAACAUCUUGGUGGUCUUAUCUCUACUUGGGUAUAUUUUUGGAAACAUUACUUGUGAUGUUUGUGUUACUGCCUAUGGCUCCUAUGUAACUAAAACAAUGAAUGAUCUACUGAUUUUAAAAGGCAGUUAAAUCUAGAGCAUUAGUUGCCUUGUGCAGACUCCUAUGACAGCCAUGUCCUAGAAUAAUGGAACACUCUGGAAAUGGGCUAGAAUGUUGAGCAGCAGCCUCCCAAAUCACAGUAUGCAUAAAAGCCAGAACAGAUGACAGAGCUCAGUAAGGAAGACCUUACUAUUUGUGACAUCUAUCAGAAUUUAACUUGAGAAACUAUGAUUUCAAGGUGUUUUUAAAAUUCUUAUAUUUCCUUUUCCAUUUUCAGAAAACACUAUUUCAGGCUUUGGUCUGACUUACUGGUUCGUGGGCAUAAAAUAAUGCUAUUAGUGACUUUAAGAACUAAUGAGGCCAGGCACGGUGGCUCAUGCCUGCAAUCCCAGCAUUUUGGGAGGCCAAGGCCAGUGGAUAACAAGGUCAGGAGAUUGAGAGCAUCCUGGCCAACAUGGUGAAACCCUGUCUCUACU
RNAcentral lists this small RNA (1611 nucleotides) under Pongo abelii (Sumatran orangutan). RNAcentral describes it as "retained intron". The record is from RNAcentral. Lineage: Eukaryota; Metazoa; Chordata; Mammalia; Primates; Hominidae.